RNAcentral lists this ribosomal RNA (253 nucleotides) under uncultured bacterium. RNAcentral's name for it is "partial 16S ribosomal RNA". It matches the Rfam family "Bacterial small subunit ribosomal RNA", at positions 524 to 776 of the family's 1533-position model. The record is from RNAcentral.
UACAGAGGGUGCGAGCGUUAAUCGGAAUUACUGGGCGUAAAGCGUGCGCAGGCGGUUUUGUAAGUCAGAUGGGAAAUCCCCGGGCUUAACCUGGGAACUGCGUUUGUGACUGCAAGACUCGAGUACGGCAGAGGGGGGUGGAAUUCCACGUGUAGCAGUGAAAUGCGUAGAGAUGUGGAGGAACACCGAUGGCGAAGGCAGCCCCCUGGGUCGAUACUGACGCUCAUGCUCGAAAGCGUGGGGAGCAAACAGG